UUUAAGUGCAAACGUGAGUUUCUAUGUUUAAUUUUAAUUGUUUGUUUUAUUUGAAAAUUUUUAUAAUUAGUAUUUUUUGUUGUUAUGAGAUGAUAAAACAUGAAUAGUACUUUACUCGUGACUUAUGUUUUUAAUUUUUUUUUCAAAAAUUUUUCAAAUAUGACGGACGAUCAAAGUUGGUCGCGGAAAAUCAUACAUGGCUGCACUUAAA
Molecule: non-coding RNA, 211 nt
Organism: Oryza glumipatula
Lineage: Eukaryota; Viridiplantae; Streptophyta; Magnoliopsida; Poales; Poaceae
Source: Rfam